CCAGACUCCUACGGGAGGCAGCAGUGGGGAAUAUUGCACAAUGGGCGAAAGCCUGAUGCAGCAACGCCGCGUGAGCGAAGAAGGUCUUCGGAUUGUAAAGCUCUGUCCUAGGGGAAGAAGAAAAUGACGGUACCCUUGGAGGAAGCUCCGGCUAACUACGUGCCAGCAGCCGCGGUAAUACGUAGGGAGCAAGCGUUGUCCGGAAUUACUGGGCGUAAAGGGCGCGUAGGUGGGUGCUUAAGUCAGGUGUGAAAACUCUGGGCUCAACCUGGAGACUGCACUUGAAACUGGGUAUCUUGAGGGCAGGAGAGGAAAGUGGAAUUCCUAGUGUAGCGGUGAAAUGCGUAGAUAUUAGGAGGAACACCAGUGGCGAAGGCGACUUUCUGGACUGUACCUGACGCUGAGGCGCGAAAGCGUGGGUAGCGAACGGGAUUAGAUACCCGUGUAA
This 448-nucleotide ribosomal RNA is filed under the name uncultured bacterium. RNAcentral describes it as "bacterial SSU rRNA". It matches the Rfam family "Bacterial small subunit ribosomal RNA", at positions 331 to 793 of the family's 1533-position model. The record is from RNAcentral.